RNAcentral lists this ribosomal RNA (253 nucleotides) under uncultured bacterium. RNAcentral describes it as "partial 16S ribosomal RNA". It matches the Rfam family "Bacterial small subunit ribosomal RNA", at positions 524 to 776 of the family's 1533-position model. The record is from RNAcentral.
UACAGAGGGUGCAAGCGUUAUCCGGAAUGAUUGGGCGUAAAGCGUCUGUAGGUGGCUUCGUAAGUCCGUUGUGAAAGUCAAAGGCUCAACCUUUGAAUGCCGAUGGAUACUGCGGAGCUAGAGUACGGAAGAGGCGAGUGGAAUUCCUGGUGUAGCGGUGGAAUGCGCAGAUAUCAGGAGGAACACCAAUAGCGAAGGCAGCUCGCUGGGACGUUACUGACACUAAGGCGCGAAAGCGUGGGGAGCGAACAGG